RNAcentral lists this unclassified non-coding RNA (436 nucleotides) under uncultured Thelephoraceae. RNAcentral describes it as "sequence contains ITS2". The stretch from base 1 to 155 matches the Rfam family "5.8S ribosomal RNA". Lineage: Eukaryota; Fungi; Basidiomycota; Agaricomycetes; Thelephorales; Thelephoraceae. The record is from RNAcentral.
AACUUUUGGUAAUGGAUCACUUGGCUCUCGCAUCGAUGAAGAACGCAGCGAAAUGCGAUAAGUAAUGUGAAUUGCAGAAUUCAGUGAAUCGUCGAAUCUUUGAACGCACCUUGCGCCCUUUGGCUAUUCUGAAGGGCAUGCCUGUUUGAGUAUCAUGAACACCUCAACUCUCAUGGUCCGCCAUGAUGAGCUUGGACUUUGGGGGUCUUGCCGGACCAGCGUCGGCUCCUCUAAAAUGGAUCAGCUUGCCAGUGUUUGGUGGCGUCACAGGUGUGAUAACUAUCUACGCUUGUGGUUCCCCGCCAUGUAACCUUCAGUGAUGGAGGUCCGCUGGAGCUCACAGACGUCUCUCCUCGUGAGGACAGCUUUUUGAACGUUUGAUCUCAAAUCAGGUAGGACUACCCGCUGAACUUAAGCAUAUCAAUAAGCGGAGGCU